GCACUGGCAAAAUCCAGUGCUCGGGAUUGGCAUUCCGAAAUCACAGCGGAUACAAACGCCGCUUUAUGCGGCUUUUCU
Molecule: small RNA, 78 nt
Filed under: Marinomonas profundimaris
Lineage: Bacteria; Pseudomonadati; Pseudomonadota; Gammaproteobacteria; Oceanospirillales; Oceanospirillaceae
Description: isrK
Rfam family: isrK Hfq binding RNA
Source: RNAcentral